This 3091-nucleotide long non-coding RNA is filed under the name Homo sapiens (human). RNAcentral's name for it is "HSALNT0349350". Lineage: Eukaryota; Metazoa; Chordata; Mammalia; Primates; Hominidae. The record is from RNAcentral.
AACCUGGCACAUGUAUACAUAUGUAACUAACCUGCACGUUGUGCACAUGUACCCUAAAACCUAAAGUAUAAAAAAAGUUGGAGUGAGAAAAUACUAUCUGCAAGUUUAUGUAGUAAAACUCUACAAAGUUAAUCUUAAAAAAAAAAGCUGCAUCGUCUAUAGGGGGAUCCUCGUUUACAUUAACAGCAGCAAGAAAAAUGGAUGACAACCACUUUGAACCUCAGUUUUCUCAUUUGUAAAAAUGAGAACAAGAAUACUUAUCACCCAUAAAGAAUUGUCAUUAAGGUCAAAUAAGCAAAUGAAUAUGGGGCCAGAAAAUAUAGCUGACAAAAUGUAAGAUACUAAGCAGUGGAUGGAGCUGGAGGCCGUUAUUCUAAAUGAAGUAACUCACUUAUUAUUUGAAAACCAAAUAUUGUAUGUUCUCAGUUGUAAGUGGGAACCAAGCCAUGGGCAUGCAAAGGCAUACAGAGUGGUAUAAUGGACAUUGGAGACUCAGGAGUGGGUGGGGAGAGGAGAAGGAGGGAUAAAAAAACUACAUGUUGGGUACAAUGUAUACUACUCGGGGGGCUGUUACACUAACAUCUCAGAUUUCACCACUAUGCAAUUCAUUCAUGUAAUAAAAAACCACAUGUACCCUAAAAGCUAUUGAAAUAAAAAAAAUCUUAAAAAAACCAAUAUAUUAAGUGAUGUCCAUAAUAGGCAAAUGAUCAAAUGUGUGCCAGUUAUACUUUGGGGGAAUAAAGGGAAACAUGUUUAAUUGCAUAGGAUUUUUAAAUAGCUCUAUUUUUCUAAAAUGUAUCUUUCCUUAGUACCCUUCCCCUACAAAGGGGACUAUAUAAAUUUAGAAUCUUCUGUUUAAAGUUCCACAAAAAUGGUAUUUUUUCCUCUCCAGAAAAAAAAUACAGAAAAGCUGUUUCAAAACCAAAAUCUCCUUAUUUUCCCAGAAUAGAAUGAGGCAAGUAUUUAGUACUUUAUAUCUGUUAUUAGAUAGUAUAUUUUUAUUUCACUAUUUAUAUAAAAGCUAGAAAGCUCAGGAAAAACUGCUGAAGCUAUCUAUCAUGAAUGUAAUUUUCUUAGUCAAUAAAACCCAGAAGAAAUAGUAAACUCAAUAUCCUACAACAAAUACAUCUAGAAAAUAAGUUCUUUAUCAAAAUGCAUUCUUGCUUCCUUCAAGUAUGGUCUAAAGUGGUAAACUAUUAUCACAGGAGAAAACAACUAUUUUUGAGCCAUUAAUGUCUGACAGUUCCAGAAUGCAACAAUUAAAAAUUGUUACCAACUUGUGACAAUUCCAUUAUAUACAUGGCUAAAAAGUUUUCCUGGGAGAGUGUACAAAAUAUGUUACCAAACCUAUCAAAAGCAAGCCAUGCAAUAAAAAAUGACUGAAUAAUAAUAAUAAAAAAAAGACCCACACACAAAAGAAGAAAAAAAGAGAAGCCCUUUCGAAAUAGGGAAAACAUUUCAUAAAUUCCUUGAAGACAAGAUUUGGCUCUUAGAAAGCAUGCCUACCAUACAAUCAACGCUGUGCAUUGCUAUUACCAUCUUUUGCCUCAGUAACAGCUACUGAGCUAAAAGACUACUCCAGCUAAAAGACCACAGGUAACCUUUGCAGCUGACCUAUGAAACAAAGAUUUCCAAUUUCAGCUGUCACUUUCAUAGAGUAGCACAAUUAAAACAACAGAAACGCUUAACAUUUAAUUUUCUGAACAUCAGAUAUAAUGCUACAAAUGGGUGGGAAAUGCAAACUUGGGAAAACAAAUAAAUUAAUAAGGACAUGAAUGACUGUACUCAAUACCAAAUAUAUUAUUCUCAUUUUACAGAGGAAGAAACUAAAAUCGAGAGAGGUUAAUAAUUGUGCCCGAGGCUACACAGCUACUAAGCAAACCAGAUCUAUGCUCAAAGCCCAUGCAGGACUGUAACCACGGUGCAAGAUCAAUCCUCCUGCUUGGAGAACUGAUCCAACUCCACACCUGUAUCUUCAGGUUGGACUCGCUUCUUCAACCCAUGUACAUGUCCAGUAUUCCUUCAUCAUUGACAAAUACCUUCCUUUGACUUUACUGAUUCUCUGACUACCACCUUUUCAAUGAAGAAAGACUUCCCUGGCCAGGUGCCAUCCCUCGGUGCUUCCACGGUUACUGACGCGUGUAUUCUCCACAGCAAUUACAACUGGAUCAAAAUCAUGGAUCUACAUGCCCAUUUCACCCACUAGACUGUGACGUCAGAGUCGGUGACAUUGCCUUCAACAUCUCCGUAUGCUCAUUACCCAGGGUGGUGCUUUCUACAGAAGGUCCUCAAUCCAUCCUCCUUGAAAUGAAUGGAAACCAACCGGCAUGUGUAAUGAAUGGUUCCAAAAGAGAAUGCUCUAGGAGUGCAGCUUGGGAUGCUAGGAACACACUCCGGUCUGGAGCCCAGCUCACUCCCUGGUUCAUGGUGGAUGUCCAAAAAUAGGCAUGAAAACGAGUGAAGCGAGAAUAUGUACUUCUCAAUUCUCAAGUUAUUAUUGGUGACACCCACCACCUAGUACCAGAUCUCAGGAGGCUGAGAUGGAAAGUUAUGGGAAACUUUGUACCUCUUGCCAGUUGAAUUCAUGACACCCAAUUUUAAAUCUUUUUUCGGCCCCAAAUUUGCCCACAUGACCUAUUUCUAUUGUAACUGCCACUGGAACUUUUGACCAGGGUAAAUCUUGUGCCUUCUUCCAGUGCCUCCUGCUCCCCUCAUCAGUCCCCAUCUGUCCUCUAACCAUGCUGACUUCUGUCCAAACUGCUUCUGGACUGGCCCUGGCAUAGACCUGCAUUAGAGAUGCAAGGCAGCAAGGUGUUUAUUUAUUUAGUUAGUUAGGAAAACAGAACAAAUUCUGGGAUGUAAUGAGAAAUGACAUACACAUAAGAGGCUUAUGACCAAAAUACGUUAAUACUCAUUGCAAAAGAAGUUCUACUUUUUAGCUUUACAUUUGAAGGCUUUAAAAAUAUGUCUGAGAGUGCUAUAGAGAGUUAUACUUUCUUCCUCCCCAUGUGACCUAAACCUCCAAUUCAGCUGCUUAAAUAGCUGACACCGACCCUAAAAUGGAAAGCUCAUAUUACAGAGGAGAAAUAUG